AACGAACGCUGGCGGCGCGUCUUAAGCAUGCAAGUCGAACGGCAAGAUUAGUGCUUGCACUAAUCCUAGAGUGGCGGACUGGUGAGUAACGCGUGGGUGACGUACCCUUCUGAUGGGGAUAGCUACUAGAAAUAGUAGAUAAUACCGAAUACGAUUUCGUAAGUUAGAGGUGCGGAAUGAAAGGAGCUUCGGCUCCGCGGAAGGAACGGCCCGCGUACCAUUAGCUAGUUGGUGUGGUAACGGCAUACCAAGGCGAUGAUGGUUACCCGGCCUAAGAGGGUGAUCGGGCACAUUGGGACUGAGAUACGGCCCAG
This 314-nucleotide ribosomal RNA is filed under the name uncultured bacterium. RNAcentral describes it as "bacterial SSU rRNA". It matches the Rfam family "Bacterial small subunit ribosomal RNA", at positions 29 to 334 of the family's 1533-position model. The record is from RNAcentral.